CCCCCCACCCCCGACUUUGACCUCCAGCUGCAGCCGUGGCCUGAAAUACCCCCCCCUCACCGGGAAAAUAAUAUUCCCGGGGGGGGGGAUCGAUCCCUGGAUGCCCCAAAGGGGGGGUUGAUGUGCUGGGAGGAGGGAGAGGCUGCUUGGGUGCGGGGGGUGGAGCUCAGGCACCCCAAAAUAUGGCUUGUGUGUGCUUGGGGUGGGGCUCGGUGGGUUUGUGCUGGGGAAAAAACUGAGUAUAACUUUAAAAAAAAAACAACCAACAAACAAAACAAAACCAAAACCACCUUAAAAAAGCCCUUUAGAAGGGUAAAGAUGGAUGCGGAGCGGGCAGGCAUGUAAACAGCUGGGGGCCGGAGUCUGUAUCAUUGAGAAAAAAUUCAGCAGGAUGGGUGGAUGCGGCCGGAGAAAGGAAAUGCUCCGGAGGAAAUCAGAGGCGUUGGGAGGCAGCCUCCCCCGACAUCUCCUGGGUACCUGGGGGGGUUGUUGUUGUUCCCCAGCACAAGGCAGAUUAAUGAUUUCCAGCCCCGCGCAGGAUGCGCUCCCUCCCGGACCCAGCGUUGCUCAAGGCUUCGUAACGGGGAAGAGCUCAGCAAAUUAAAUCCUGCUCCAACAAGUUUUGGAGGACCUGGAGUAAACACCGCUCCCUUUCCUGCCUCGUGCCUGGACGCGGCUUUUCCGCAGCCUCUCCCUGAGCCCAACCUGAGCUUUUUUUCCCCCGUAGGAAUUUGUCUUCUGGCAGCCCGUGACGGGGUCGGACAGGAUUUGGGGCUGAGCCCCCUCCCCAGGCAUCUCCGUGGGCAGCCCUGGCACAGAGAGCUUUUCCUGCCUGAGCUGUCCCUGAAAUGACUGCACUUGCCAGGAAUUGAGGCGUAAAUCGGCACCGGAGCUGGACGGGAGUCAGGCUGUUUUCUUCGGAACUUGUCUGAGCAGGUAAAGAGGGGGGGAAUCUCCUUUCGAGCACCUUCUGUUCAAUGUGUUUCUAAGGCUGCCCUGAAAAGGCAGGAAAAAAAAAAAAAGCAGGGUUGCCUUUAUCUGGGUAAGGACAGCAGCCUCAAAAAUGUAAAUAUGGAAAGGCUUGCUCUCAAAGAUUACGCUGCUGGACCUCGGUGAUGCAACAGGAUGAACUCACUUGAGCUGUGUUGGUUUUGUGCAAAACCACAUGGAAAAUCAGGAGCUGAAAAAAAAAGACAGUAAAAAAACUCUAAAUGCAAAAGUUGUAUCUUCUGUUGCUGGCGUUACAGUUAUUUAUGUUCUUGAAUGCCAGGUCUCGCUGCUGGGGGGAACGUGGCUCGUUGUCCUUUGUGAAGAUGAUACUGUGAAGAGUUUACAAG
This 1337-nucleotide long non-coding RNA is filed under the name Calidris pugnax (ruff). RNAcentral's name for it is "lncRNA (ENSCPUG00000016287.1)". Lineage: Eukaryota; Metazoa; Chordata; Aves; Charadriiformes; Scolopacidae. The record is from RNAcentral.